CUUCCGUAGGGUGAACCUGCGGAGGGAUCAUUACACAAUACAAUAUGAAGGCUGUCCGCAGCUGGAGUAUUUUAUUACCCUUGUCUUUUGCGCACUUGUUGUUUCCUGGGCGGGUUCGCUCGCCACCAGGACCACCAAAUAAACCUUUUUUAUGCAGUUGCAAUCAGCGUCAGUACAAACAAUGUAAAUCAUUUACAACUUUCAACAACGGAUCUCUUGGUUCUGGCAUCGAUGAAGAACGCAGCGAAAUGCGAUACGUAGUGUGAAUUGCAGAAUUCAGUGAAUCAUCGAAUCUUUGAACGCACAUUGCGCCCUUUGGUAUUCCAAAGGGCAUGCCUGUUCGAGCGUCAUUUGUACCCUCAAGCUUUGCUUGGUGUUGGGCGUUUUUGUCUUUGGUCGCCCAAAGACUCGCCUUAAAGUGAUUGGCAGCCGGCCUUUCUGGUUUCGCAGCGCAGCACAUUUUUGCGCUUGCCAUCAGCAAAACGGCAAUCCAUCAAGCCUCCUUCUCACGUUUGACCUCGGAUCAGGUACGGAUGCCCGCUGAACUUAAGCAUAUCAAUAAGCGGAGGAAA
Molecule: ribosomal RNA, 572 nt
Filed under: Curvularia geniculata
Lineage: Eukaryota; Fungi; Ascomycota; Dothideomycetes; Pleosporales; Pleosporaceae
Description: eukaryotic LSU rRNA
Rfam family: 5.8S ribosomal RNA (bases 197-350)
Source: RNAcentral